This 799-nucleotide ribosomal RNA is filed under the name uncultured archaeon. RNAcentral's name for it is "bacterial SSU rRNA". It matches the Rfam family "Archaeal small subunit ribosomal RNA", at positions 541 to 1342 of the family's 1478-position model. The record is from RNAcentral.
GUGUGUAAUCAACCAGCUCAACUGGUUGAAUUCUGCGAGCACGGCCAGACUUGGGACCGGGAGAGGUGUGGGGUACGCUCAGGGUAGGGGUAAAAUCCUGUCAUCCUGAGCGGACCACCUGUUGCGAAGGCGCCACACUAGAACGGAUCCGACGGUCAGGGACGAAGCCUAGGGGCACGAACCGGAUUAGAUACCCGGGUAGUCCUAGGUGUAAACGCUGUGGACUUGGUGUUGGGGACUCUCCGAGAUUCCUCAGUGCCGAAGCGAAGGUGAUAAGUCCACUGCCUGGGGAGUACGGUCGCAAGGCUGAAACUUAAAGGAAUUGGCGGGGGAGCACCGCAACCUGAGGAUUGUGCGGUUUAAUUGGAUUCAACGCCGGAAAACUCACCAGUGCCGACGGACAAAUGAAAGCCAGUGUAAUGAGCUUGCUGGAUUGUUCGAGAGGUAGUGCAUGGCCGCCGUCAGUUCGUACCGUAAGGCGUUCUGUUAAGUCAGAUAACGAACGAGACCCUCAUCCCUAUUUGCUAAGGUCAGUCCGCUGAUCACAGGACUAUAGGGAGACCGCUGGCGCGAAGUCAGAGGAAGGCGAGGGCAACGGUAGGUCAGUAUGCUCCGAAUGCACUGGGCUACACGCGCAAUACAAAGGACGGGACAAUGGGCCGCUGCGCCGAGAGGCAUGUGGCUAUCCCGAAACCCGUUCGUAGUUCGGAUUAAGGGCUGUAACUCGCCCUCAUGAAGCUGGAUUACGUAGUAAUCGCGUCUCAAAAAGGCGCGGUGAAUAUGUCCCUGCUCCUUGCAC